UUACAAAAUUCUAUUAAUAUUAGUGAAGACAAAUACAAUGUGUUUAGUAGAUCCUCUCCUCUUCUUCACUGUAUGAUGAAACAUGCAACUCUUUUAUGUUUGCAGCACAUCCAUAGGGAUAUAGAGGAAAUAAGGCGUGAUCUGGACUCUGUCAAAGAGGAACUCUGGCGAAAACGAUCUGAGUAAGGGGAAGUGGGAGGCGAUAUGACAUGGAGGAGGAGAGAUCCUGUCAAAUCCGAGUCAUAUUGUCUAGUGUUUUAGCUGAAAAUUAAGCUUGCGAAUCUAUGUUCGUUUUAUGUCGUUUUUAGUGUCUUUUAAGUUUCUUUUAUGUCGUUGCAGUUUGAGUCAGUGCUUCGUCUUCGGACAAUGUAUGCUAUGUUUCUGGUGAAAUCUGGCUUCUUAAAUAAAGUUUAAGUGCAAUUGUCAGUGGAA
Molecule: long non-coding RNA, 432 nt
Organism: Populus trichocarpa (black cottonwood)
Lineage: Eukaryota; Viridiplantae; Streptophyta; Magnoliopsida; Malpighiales; Salicaceae
Exons: 2
Source: RefSeq, a predicted model, not a curated record